GCCCUUGUGGCGUAAUCGGAUAGCGCGCUCGGCUUCUAACUGAGAGGUUGUGGGUUCAAGUCCCACCAGGGGUA
Molecule: transfer RNA, 74 nt
Filed under: Megaviridae environmental sample
Lineage: Varidnaviria; Bamfordvirae; Nucleocytoviricota; Megaviricetes; Imitervirales; Mimiviridae
Description: tRNA-Arg
Rfam family: tRNA
About the family: Transfer RNA (tRNA) molecules are approximately 80 nucleotides in length. Their secondary structure includes four short double-helical elements and three loops (D, anti-codon, and T loops).
Source: RNAcentral